AGUCGCACGCAGAGAGCUUGCUCUCUGAGUGGCGCACGGCUGAGGAUCACGUGGGAACAUGCCUCCUUGUGGGGGACAACACCGCGAAAGCGGUGCUAAUCCCGCAUACGCUCGUCGUAAGGCGAGGAAAGCGGCAACGCGCAGGGAGAGUGGCCCGCGGCCCAUCAGGUCGUAGGUGGGGUAAUGGCCUACCUAGCCGAUGACGGGUAGCUGGUCUGUGAGGACAGACAGCCAGACUGGGACUGAGACACGGCCCAGACUCCUACGGGAGGCAGCAGCAAGGAAUUUUCGUCAAUGGGCGCAAGCCUGAACGAGCAACGCCGCGUGGAGGAUGACGGCCUUCGGGUUGUAAACUCCUUUUUCGGGGGACGAUAAUGACGGUACCCCGGGAAUAAGGCUCGGCUAACUCUGUGCCAGCAGCCGCG
Molecule: ribosomal RNA, 425 nt
Filed under: uncultured soil bacterium
Lineage: Bacteria
Description: bacterial SSU rRNA
Rfam family: Bacterial small subunit ribosomal RNA
Source: RNAcentral